Molecule: long non-coding RNA, 1093 nt
Filed under: Taeniopygia guttata (zebra finch)
Lineage: Eukaryota; Metazoa; Chordata; Aves; Passeriformes; Estrildidae
Description: lncRNA (ENSTGUG00000019918.1)
Source: RNAcentral
CAAGUUGAAGUGUCAAAUUACAUUGGCUAUUCUAUUACCAAAGGGCCAUGCUUUGUGGCUGCUGGCAAAAUCUGUCCCAGAUUCCUAUCUGAAAGGGAGCUGCCUCCUACAGGGAUGUUCUUCCCUUCGCCCUCUCCCUUCCCCUCUCCCCCCGCAACACACACACACACACACACACAGCCCCCCCCCAAAUCACACCAAGUUAAAAAUCUUAGAUGCGAGUUAAAAUACAAAUAUUAUCUUACAGUGUCUUUUAAGGCGGGGAGUCCUCCUGAAAACCAAGCACUCGGAAACCCUUCCACUCUGGAAACUGAAAGCUGGAGAAUAUGUAUACUCCCUUCGGUGUUUUUGUAUUAUUAAAUAGGGGAAAACCACCCUGGACCCAACACACUGCCAAGCAUGAGGUGUCUCCGUCUCUGUCGUCUUCACGAGAGAAUUUUUACGGGCAUGGAAGGAACUACCGGGCGGGCAGGGGGAUUACAGGGGAACGCCGAGACAUCCUGCUGCUCCGUUAUUGCACUCUAGCCCCCCACCCCCCUCCAUUUGUUGCCACCACCCCCACCCUCGGGGCCGCUGUUAUUUUCAGAGCCCGGAGCUCCCGCCACCCAGGAAAUCCAGCCCGAUUUCCAGGGAGAAAAUAAGAAGAAAUCGUCCUUGUCUGACGAGCCCCAAUCUGCUAAAAAACAUCUCCCUCGACUUCUCUUCCCCUUGAUAAAACACUUCCAGGACAAUCAAUAUUUUAUGAUGAGUUGUUAAUAAGCCUAAUAUAUUCAUCCCUGCUCCAACGGGGCUUGUUAGAUUAUGCAAUUAAGAUAAGCAAUUUAAACAGCACUGUGUAGCUUCUCGCUGGCCACAUUCGUCUUGUUGUUGGAGGAGGAGAACGAUCGGGACUGUAAAGGGAUGUCGGAUCGCUCGGGGAAGGGGGAAGAUUGUCUAAUUUUUUCUUAUUUUUCUCAGCUGCGUGCAGGCGGAACGGAGCGCUACCGCGGCUGUCCGCGCCGGUCCCCCCGCGGGGCUGCCCCCGUCCGCCGCCGCUGGACGCGCUGAUUUGCGCGGGGCUACGCCGCCCGCCCCCGAGGGCAGCGCCCCCGGC